Long non-coding RNA from Alligator sinensis (Chinese alligator), 1828 nucleotides. RefSeq lists it as uncharacterized. The transcript is spliced from 3 exons. The record is from RefSeq and is a predicted model, not a curated record. NCBI's taxonomy places the organism in Eukaryota, Metazoa, Chordata, Crocodylia, Alligatoridae.
CCUAUCAUGGUGCUAUCUGAACAUAAUUUCAUUGCGUCUUUUGCCUUGUUUACCCCCACAAAAAUAGGUAUUCCACAAUAAAGGCUACAAUGUUAGCAAACACAUAGGGGUCCAAUAUUUCUGAGUAAAGUUACACUUAAAGACUUUGUAGAUGGCAGAUCCUAUUAUUUAAAAAAACAAAACAAAACCCCCAAAAAACGUAUAUGGAGCAUAUUUAAUAGUGCAUAGCCAAGGUAUUGAAUUGGCAGCAAAAGUUUGGUAGAACCAGAAGGAUGCUGCCAGAGGGGUGAAGUUGGCAAAACAAUGUGGAGGCAUGCACAGCAGUCUGGCACCAAGACAGGUAUUACAGUAAAGGGUUUGCUUUCUGUUGUUGGUCUGCCUCUUUGCUCUUGGCUUUGUAUUUUUUCCAGACUUGUGAGUACCUUGUUUACACGGUUGAUUAUUUUCACUAGAAUGAGGUAUGUAUUGGAUCAAGUUGGUCCUAUUUUCUAAGGUGCAGAAUUAAUUCCUUCCCGAGGUGGAAAAAAGCAGUGGGCGGCACCUCUCUUGGCUUUUACUUGGGAUCUCACACAGUGGUGGGAGGGUCUGAUACUGGAAGGAAUGACAGCUUGCAACUGGUAUUCUGGUGAGCUGGCUUCAAUACCUAACUGCCAUGCAGCUCCAAACUUGUCAUAUUGCUUUUCCUCUUAAUAUAAAAGCAAUAUUUCCCUGCUUCAUAGGUAUAUUGUGUGGGCAUGUAGUGACCAUAUAUGUGCUUAGAUAAUAUUCUUAAUGGUUUAACAUUUUUUUUUAAUCUUCUUAGAGGUGUGUAGUGCUUAGCAUUUAGCUUUAUUUAAAACGACUAUUGUGUCUUUCUGAAACUCAGUUUUAACUGAGAUUCUAAGGAUAUCAUUACUACAGAAAAGCUAUAAUCAUUGCUAACAAUGCAUUUGUUUAGCACAGCUGCAAGAGAUUGUCACUUCAUCUUUGUUGCCCCAGUGUAUCUCCAUUUACACUAUUUAUGUAUAGCUCCUGGCAGUCGUUACACUUAGGACACAAUUAGUCUGAUAUCUUAAAUAGUAAUCUGGCCAGGUAUUUAGGGAAUUAAGGAUAGCACAGAAAUAAUAUAUAAAAUGUGUAAUAUUUCUGUGCCUGGUUUCAGAUGAGUCUUAAAUUGAAUGUGUGGCAAGGUUAGGAUUACACCAAGGUGUCCCACAACCCUGGUGCGGUCCCCAUCAGCCAACAAUCAGCUGAUUUGUUUUUUUUUGUUUUCUUUGGCUGGGUCUGGGACCAGUCUUGGUGUGGUCCCCCUGUGUAUGGCAUGGCAGAAGGUUGGGAUUGGAUAUCAGUGGUUGGGAUUGGAUAUCAGAUCCCAUUGCACCUUUAAGUGGAUGUCUGUUAGCAGCCAAAGAAAUGUAGUAUAGAAAGUCAUUUGAAGGCCAAGCCUAUUUGAACUUGUAUUUCAUUGCUUCGUUGGCAAUUACUUAGGUUUUAUGUGAAACUUUCUUAAGGUUAUCGGAAUCUUUCUUUGAGGUGGUGAUAAAGCAAACAUUGAUAAUACAUGUUAUUGUUGGGUUUGCUGUGCAAUAGCACUAACAGAGCUUUUGUUCUUGCAGAAGAGUUAUUAAUAACUUGUGAGUCAUGGAAGGACUGCCUUCGAACUGAGGGAAGGUGGCAGAACACAAUUUUUGUUGCAGAAUCUAUUCAUGAUUCAAGUGCCCUGUAUGUUCAAAGUUUGUAUCAUCAGAUGAAAUGGAUUUGCAUCUUGUGAUGUGUUUGACGAAGCCAAGGAUAACCUACAAUGAGGAUGUGUUGAGUAAAGAUGCUGGGGAGUGUGCAAUAUGCCUGG